AAGACCACGAAGAAGCAGCCCCUUCGCUUCUCCCGACCCGCUUCUCUAACGCAGAAGUGCGGCAAAGGCCCCGCUGAGCGCGGUUCAGGUGACUCUGAGACUGUUUAGAUUAGUUAAGGGGGGGUAAGCUGCCCUCGGCUCUACAUUGUAUUUCCAAGUUUGAUGCCUACAUCCAGUUCCCAAAUUGAACUUCCAGAUCCCGGAUUCGAAACUACCGGCUCCCAGAGUUGCCAGUUCGAAUCUAACAGCUGUCUGUACUCUGAUUUCCCCGACCUUCCCAGCGCUCCAAGUUCAAAUUCCAACCCCAACCGAAGUUCCCAGGCGACUCCUCCAGACCCUGGUCCACUAGCAAACCUUCCCCUGAUCUCGACUUCGAGUUUCCUCUGCGCCUCGGAAGGAUUGGGGUGGGGAUGGCGAAAAUGGGGACACCUCGCCUCUAAUUCCGCACAAGGGACUCAGGGCUGGGGGUAAAGUGGUGUGGACCGAAGCGGAGGCGCGGCAGAGGGAAGCAGUGACCCGGCCGGNNCCCGCCUCUAAACUUAGCCGCCGUGACGCGCGGCCGGGCUAUCGCGGCGGGGCCGGGGACGCAGGGGGGCCGGAGCGGAGGGGGAGCGGCUCCGCUCCGUGAGCCUCUAUUUAUAGCGCCCGGAACCCGAAAUAGCGAGGAGCGGAGCGGCCGGGAUGACGCGGAAGCCGCCGGGGACUGACUCACCCGGGCCCCGAGCGGCGGCCCCCGGAUGGGGGACAGUGGAGGCGCCUGGACCGGACCCCCGCCAUCCCGGACACUUCUUCUGCCUGGACAUCCCAAGUUUCCACGUGGCACUGUGGAUGGAUAUGCAGCCAAAGGAGGAGCUGCAGCAUGAGACCGAGGUUAGAGCAGAGGAAAAUACCCUGCAAGUUCCCACAGUGACCCCGGGAUCUUGGAGGAGGAGGUUCUGGGGACCUGAGUUCUGGUUCUGGNGGGGGAUUCUAACCUGCUGUGCCACAGCAGGAACUCCUAGUUUCUUGACCUUAAGCCAUGCUCUCCCCUGGAGGCACACCAUCACAUGUUAAAUCUGGACUUCAAGGAAGCCACACUCCUAGAUCCAUGGUCAAGACAUUGUCCACUGCUCUGAUGUCCAAUUUGGCAGCCACUUGGCUACAUAUGGCUUUCAAGCACUUGAAACGAGGCUGGUCCAAAGUGAGAUGAUGAGAUGAGUCAUGAGAAUAAAAUGCACACCAGAUUUCACAGACUUAGUGUGAUAAAAAGAACGUAAACUAUCUCAUUAAAAACCGCUGAGGAGGAGUUCCUGGACGUGGCUCAGUGGAAACGAAUCUGAGUAGCAUCCAUGAGGACACAGGUUGGAUCCCUGGCCUCGCUCAGUGGGUUAAGGAUCCAGCAUUGCCGUGAGCUGUGGUGUAGGUUGCAGACCCAACUCGGAUCCUGUGUUGCUGUGGCUAUGGUGUAGGCCAGCAGUUCUAACUCCGAUUUAACCCCUAGCCUGGGAACCUCCCUAUGGAGGUUGGCCCUAAAAAGCAAAAAAAAAAAAAAAAACCAAAAAAAACACGGGAAGGUAAAUUGGUGUAACCACUAUGGAAAACAGGGUGGAGAUUCCUCAAAACACUAAGCAUAGAAUUACCAUAUGACCAGCAAUUCUACUCCUGGGCAUCCAUCCAGAGAAAACCACAACUCGAAAAGAUACAUGUACCCCAAUGUUCAUUGCAGUAGGAUACACAAUAGCCAGGACAGAGCACAACCCAAAUGCCCAUCGACAGAGGAGUGGAUCAAGAAGAUGUGGUACAUAUAUGCCAUGGAAUAUUACUCAGCUGUUAAAAAAAUGAAAUAAUGACAUUUGCAGCAGCAUGGAUGGACCUAGAAAGUAUCACGGUGAGUGAAGUUCGUCAGAGAGUCAGACAGUGACAGACAAAGGUCACAUGCCAUCACUGAUGUGUGGAACCUAAAAAAAGGAUACAAAUGAACUUAUUUGCAGAACAGAAACGGGUUCACAGACUCUGAAAAACUUACGGUUACCAAAGGGGACAAGUGGGGAGAGGGAGGGGUGGACGAGGGGUUUGGGAUGGAAACGUUCUAAAAUUAGGCGAUGAUGAUGGUUGUACAACUAUAAAUAUAAUAAAAAUUCAUUGGAGGACUUCCCAUCGUGGCUCACUGAUUAACGAACCCAACUGGUAUCCAUGAAGAUGAGGGUUCGAUCCCUGGCCUGGCUCAGUGGGUUAAGGAUCUGGCAUUGCUGUGAGCUGUGGUGUAGGUCACAGAUGCGGCUCGGAUCCUGAGUUGCUGUGGCUCUGGUGCAGGGUGGCAGCUACAGCUGCAAUUCGACAGACCCCUAGCCUGGGAACCUCCAUAGGCUACAAGGUGGCCCUAAAAAGAAAAAAAAUAAAAAAAAAUAAAAAUUCAUUGGAUUAAAAAUAAAAUAAUAAACAUUGUAAAAAAGAAAAAGAAAAGGAGUUCCCGUCGUGGCUCAGUGGUUAACGAUCCAACUAGGAACUAUGGAGUUGCGGGGUU
RNAcentral lists this long non-coding RNA (2503 nucleotides) under Sus scrofa (pig). RNAcentral's name for it is "lncRNA (ENSSSCG00055010378.1)". The record is from RNAcentral. Lineage: Eukaryota; Metazoa; Chordata; Mammalia; Artiodactyla; Suidae.